UACGGGGGGGGCAAGCGUUGUUCGGAAUUACUGGGCGUAAAGGGCUCGUAGGUGGCCAACUAAGUCAGACGUGAAAUCCCUCGGCUUAACCGGGGAACUGCGUCUGAUACUGGAUGGCUUGAGUUCGGGAGAGGGAUGCGGAAUUCCAGGUGUAGCGGUGAAAUGCGUAGAUAUCUGGAGGAACACCGGUGGCGAAGGCGGCAUCCUGGACCAGCACUGACACUGAGGAGCGAAAGCCAGGGGAGCAAACGGG
This 253-nucleotide ribosomal RNA is filed under the name uncultured bacterium. RNAcentral's name for it is "partial 16S ribosomal RNA". It matches the Rfam family "Bacterial small subunit ribosomal RNA", at positions 524 to 776 of the family's 1533-position model. The record is from RNAcentral.